CCUACGGGGGGCAGCAGUGAGGAAUAUUGGUCAAUGGACGAGAGUCUGAACCAGCCAAGUAGCGUGAAGGAUGACUGCCCUAUGGGUUGUAAACUUCUUUUAUAAAGGAAUAAAACGAGGCACGUGUGCCUUUUUGCAUGUACUUUAUGAAUAAGGAUCGGCUAACUCCGUGCCAGCAGCCGCGGUAAUACGGAGGAUCCGAGCGUUAUCCGGAUUUAUUGGGUUUAAAGGGAGCGUAGAUGGGUUGUUAAGUCAGUUGUGAAAGUUUGCGGCUCAACCGUAAAAUUGCAAUUGAUACUGGCAGUCUUGAGUACAGUUGAGGUAGGCGGAAUUCGUGGUGUAGCGGUGAAAUGCUUAGAUAUCACGAAGAACCCCGAUUGCGAAGGCAGCUUACUAAACUGUGACUGACAUUGAUGCUCGAAAGUGUGGGUAUCAAACAGGAUUAGAUACCCCAGUAGUCGUG
This 463-nucleotide ribosomal RNA is filed under the name uncultured Bacteroides sp. Its description in RNAcentral is "bacterial SSU rRNA". It matches the Rfam family "Bacterial small subunit ribosomal RNA", at positions 338 to 799 of the family's 1533-position model. Lineage: Bacteria; Pseudomonadati; Bacteroidota; Bacteroidia; Bacteroidales; Bacteroidaceae. The record is from RNAcentral.